CUCUAUUCCCCAGCCUCCCUGCAGCUAGUGGUAGCGGAGUGACACAGCUCUACCCAUGGGACGGAGGGAAAAUUGCCUGGAUGUUCUGGUUACUACCCAGAUCCAGACAACUAACUGCCUCUUCCUUCCUGUUCUCUCCUUCUCUUUGUUUUCUCCUUCUCCUCCUUCUUCUUCCCCUGCCCCUGCUCUCCUUUUUCUUUCCAUUUGGAAUGUGGAUAGGAGGAGGAGGACAUGGCCACCCUCUGGGACACUGACAGCUUCGUGAAAUGAAAGCCUUAUGGUUAGGACGACGGAGCAGAGAGGAGGAGGAGCCGGGAAGACGGAGCAGCUGCGCACAUUCUGACGAGGUUCUGACUUCCCGUUUCGUGAGAACAGUCAGAAAGUGAACCACAACAUGUACAGUUGCCUCCCAUGGGAGAAAUAGAGCAAGGCUGGGCGACCUUCUCGCUGGCUCUCCCUCACCCCUUUGCCCUACAGCUCUCACGGUUUCUGCUCCCCUGUCCCACUUUCUGAAGAAGUAAGUGGGUUGGCUUUUCAGAAGCUCUGAGGCAGUCAAGUUGAUCUGCAGAAUCUGUUCCAUUAGGUCAACCUGAAACUAUAAGAAGCAGACGGAUGAUUUGGAAGCAAGUAUCAUUUCAGUUCCGGAGCAUAUUGACAUCUGUUACAACAUAUUAUUAAACAUCAAACUCCACAUGGCACUUGAAGGAAUGCAAGGAAAGGAAAAUACUCCAAAAUGCAAACCUCUCAGAUUUUGUCACAAAUGGAUAAUAUUUAAAAUAAACGAGCUGAUGUCAUAUUGAUCUAUAAAGAAAGUAAACAUAUCAAAAUG
Vicugna pacos (alpaca) is the source of this 829-nucleotide non-coding RNA. The record is from RefSeq and is a predicted model, not a curated record. NCBI's taxonomy places the organism in Eukaryota, Metazoa, Chordata, Mammalia, Artiodactyla, Camelidae.